AUUGCCUACGGGGGGCAGCAGUGGGGAAUAUUGCACAAUGGGGGAAACCCUGAUGCAGCAACGCCGCGUGAGUGAAGAAGUAUUUCGGUAUGUAAAGCUCUAUCGGCAGGGAAGAAAAUGACAGUACCUGACUAAGAAGCCCCGGCUAACUACGUGCCAGCAGCCGCGGUAAUACGUAGGGGGCAAGCGUUAUCCGGAUUUACUGGGUGUAAAGGGAGCGUAGACGGCUGCGCAAGUCA
RNAcentral lists this ribosomal RNA (239 nucleotides) under uncultured bacterium. RNAcentral's name for it is "partial 16S ribosomal RNA". It matches the Rfam family "Bacterial small subunit ribosomal RNA", at positions 334 to 590 of the family's 1533-position model. The record is from RNAcentral.